This 253-nucleotide ribosomal RNA is filed under the name uncultured bacterium. RNAcentral's name for it is "partial 16S ribosomal RNA". It matches the Rfam family "Bacterial small subunit ribosomal RNA", at positions 524 to 776 of the family's 1533-position model. The record is from RNAcentral.
UACGUAGGAGGCAAGCGUUGUCCGGAAUCAUUGGGCGUAAAGCGCACGUAGGCGGCCUGUUAAGUCGGGUGUGAAAGCCCUGGGCUCAACCCAGGAAGUGCACUCGAAACUGGCGGGCUUGAAUAUGGAAGAGGGUCGCGGAAUUCCCGGUGUAGAGGUGAAAUUCGUAGAUAUCGGGAGGAACACCAGUGGCGAAGGCGGCGACCUGGGCCAAUAUUGACGCUGAGGUGCGAAAGCGUGGGGAGCAAACAGG